CCUACGGGAGGCAGCAGUAGGGAAUAUUGCUCAAUGGGGGAAACCCUGAAGCAGCAACGCCGCGUGGAGGAUGAAGGUUUUCGGAUUGUAAACUCCUUUUGUUAGAGAAGAUAAUGACGGUAUCUAACGAAUAAGCACCGGCUAACUCCGUGCCAGCAGCCGCGGUAAUACGGAGGGUGCAAGCGUUACUCGGAAUCACUGGGCGUAAAGAGCGCGUAGGCGGGAUAGCAAGUCAGAUGUGAAAUCCUAGGGCUUAACCAUAGAACUGCAUUUGAAACUGUUCUUCUAGAGUAUGGGAGAGGUAGGUGGAAUUCUUGGUGUAGGGGUAAAAUCCGUAGAGAUCAAGAGGAAUACUCAUUGCGAAGGCGACCUGCUAGAACAUAACUGACGCUGAUGCGCGAAAGCGUGGGGAGCAAACAGGAUUAGAUACCCGGGUAGUC
This 440-nucleotide ribosomal RNA is filed under the name uncultured bacterium. RNAcentral describes it as "partial 16S ribosomal RNA". It matches the Rfam family "Bacterial small subunit ribosomal RNA", at positions 338 to 795 of the family's 1533-position model. The record is from RNAcentral.